RNAcentral lists this ribosomal RNA (457 nucleotides) under uncultured bacterium. RNAcentral describes it as "partial 16S ribosomal RNA". It matches the Rfam family "Bacterial small subunit ribosomal RNA", at positions 338 to 795 of the family's 1533-position model. The record is from RNAcentral.
CCUACGGGGGGCAGCAGUGGGGAAUAUUGCACAAUGGGGGAAACCCUGAUGCAGCGACGCCGCGUGAGUGAAGAAGUAUUUCGGUACGUAAAGCCCUAUCAGCAGGGAAGAAAAAAAGUCCUUUGGACUUUGGACGGUACCUGACUAAGAAGCCCCGGCUAACUACGUGCCAGCAGCCGCGGUAAUACGUAGGGGGCAAGCGUUAUCCGGAUUUACUGGGUGUAAAGGGAGCGUAGACGGCAGCGCAAGUCUGGAGUGAAAUGCCGGGGCCCAACCCCGGGACUGCCCUUGGAACUGCAUGGCUGGAGUGCGGGAGGGGCAGGCGGAAUUCCUGGUGUAGCGGUGAAAUGCGUAGAUAUCAGGAGGAACACCGGCGGCGAAGGCGGCCUGCUGGACCGCGACUGACGUUGAGGCUCGAAAGCGUGGGGAGCGAACAGGAUUAGAUACCCGAGUAGUC